GCCUGGCACAGGCCUGGAACCCUUACCAAGUUACCUUGGAUGAGUAGACUCAAGGUGUGGGGAGAGCAGGAGACUGGCUUCCUCAAGUGCAUCACCGCAGUGACAGGACACACAGAGGCGCCUGCUCCCACACCACCCCCGAGGAAUGCGCGGAGCGUCGUGUGCGGGAAACGGUCAGGAGUCUUGCUCACGUGUUCCUGAAGCUGAGUGCCACACGCGGGGCUGCUUGCUCUGAGAGUCGGUGAGGGGGAGAGGAGGGGGAGAGGAAGGGGAGAGGGCCACAACGCCCAGGUCCCCAGACCUGAGCCACAGUGCUGAGGACAUUGGAUCCCACGCCGUGCUGCCCUGUGCUGCUGGAGAUGCGGGGCACGAGACUCGAU
RNAcentral lists this long non-coding RNA (380 nucleotides) under Chinchilla lanigera (long-tailed chinchilla). Its description in RNAcentral is "lncRNA (ENSCLAG00000022670.1)". The record is from RNAcentral. Lineage: Eukaryota; Metazoa; Chordata; Mammalia; Rodentia; Chinchillidae.